GAUUCUUUUGUUUUGCAGCUUCUGCUAGUUGAAACAACUUGCAGUGAAAGGACCUCUUUAUCCUAUUUCACAUGACAUAAAUUAAGUACAUUGCUUAUAUCUGUUCCUUUGUUCCAUUUUCUGUUGCUCUUCUGUAGUGUUUCGUCGACCCGUCGACUGGAUCCAGAUUCUAUUCGAAGGAUGAAGUACUUCAAUUCAUACAGGUGAAGAAUCCGCUUGACCCCACAAACAAGGAGGACGAUGCAGCAGCUCAGAAAGUUGGCACUGAUGCAAAGCCCAUAAGAGAAGUGGGAGAGCUUACGGAGAUCACCGAGGGCGAGUUGAAAGGAUUUGUUAAAGAAGUCAAAUACAGAACGAGCAGAGGCAAAUUGAAGAAAGAUACGUUUUAUCAUUGUCGACGAAGUCGAUAUGUAUUAUUUUCCAAAGAGGAUGCUCUGCGCUAUGCCGACUCCGGAAACAUUCAUAAAUGUGUCGUAAAACCAAAGAGGAGUACCAUCGUUGGCGCGCAGAAUGUCGAAGUCCAACCUAGUGUAAGUUUAAACCGCAGCUUUCAUUUUUUUCCCUCUCUUCACCACCUCCCUCAAUGCUAACUGUGGCAUAGGACAGCAUAGAUUCCUAGGUAUACAUCCAUCAGUAGAAGGAAAUAAAAGCACAAUGAAUUAGGAAGAACUCGAGGGAUUCUGAAUUUAAAUGCAAUUUCAAGGAAAAGUAUGUUUACUAUUAAUGGCUCCUGAAGGUCAAAAAAUUUAGCUCAUGGUAAUCAUAUUU
Long non-coding RNA from Ananas comosus (pineapple), 768 nucleotides. RefSeq lists it as uncharacterized. The transcript has 3 exons. The record is from RefSeq and is a predicted model, not a curated record. NCBI's taxonomy places the organism in Eukaryota, Viridiplantae, Streptophyta, Magnoliopsida, Poales, Bromeliaceae.